RNAcentral lists this transfer RNA (90 nucleotides) under Terriglobia bacterium. Its description in RNAcentral is "tRNA-Gly". The record is from RNAcentral. Lineage: Bacteria; Pseudomonadati; Acidobacteriota; Terriglobia.
GGAGGACACUCCCGGUGUGGGUACUGGGCACGCUUGCCAAGCGUUGGACGGCUGCUUACAGCCUGAAGGGUUCGAUUCCCUUGUCCUCCU